Molecule: ribosomal RNA, 557 nt
Filed under: uncultured bacterium
Lineage: Bacteria
Description: bacterial SSU rRNA
Rfam family: Bacterial small subunit ribosomal RNA
Source: RNAcentral
GACGGGGGCCCGCACAAGCGGAGGAACAUGUGGUUUAAUUCGAUGAUACGCGAGGAACCUUACCCGGGCUUGAACUGCAGGCGAACGAUACAGAGAUGUUGAGGCCCUUCGGGGCGCCUGUGGAGGUGCUGCAUGGUUGUCGUCAGCUCGUGCCGUGAGGUGUCGGCUUAAGUGCCAUAACGAGCGCAACCCUUUUCAUUAGUUGCCAUCAGGUAAUGCUGGGCACUCUGGUGAUACUGCCACCGUAAGGUGUGAGGAAGGUGGGGAUGACGUCAAAUCAGCACGGCCCUUACGUCCGGGGCUACACACGUGUUACAAUGGGAGGUACAGAGAGUCGGAUGUACGCAAGUACAUUCUAAUCCUAAAAGCCUUCCUCAGUUCGGAUUGGGGUCUGCAACCCGACCCCAUGAAGCUGGAUUCGCUAGUAAUCGCGCAUCAGCCAUGGCGCGGUGAAUACGUUCCCGGGCCUUGUACACACCGCCCGUCAAGCCAUGAAAGCCGGGGGCGCUUGAAGUCCGUGGGCGCAAGGAUCGGCCUAGAGCGAAACUGGGAAGAGG